UCCACACAAAGCAGUGUCUUUGCACAUACUGUUGGUCCAGCAUCGGCUAACGUGGUAGCCAUACAACGCUGUUCCAGCCAGGUCAGGUUGCAGGGAAAAGGUUACAGGCCGCAGGGAAUCCAGCCACAAUUAGUGUGGGAACCUCUGAGGUCCCAGACACAAGGGUUGGGAAACCCUGCUAGCUUGAUACUGAUAGCUACCAGCUAGGCUAGUAGCUAAGCUACGGUAAACAACUUCAGGCUUUUUGGUCUGGCAGGAUCCCGGGACAGAUUGUAGCUGUCACAGCAACUGAGGCUAACCGCGAUGCAGGAUCCAAAGUAAAAAAGUAUGUAAAUAAAACUUGGCAAGGAAACACAACUUUCAAAAACAAUAAAGUGAGGAGACAAAGAUUUCAGGGUGGGUUAUUGAGGCUGGUAAUACCCUUCAACAGUGGCCCCCACAACUGUGAUAGAGUCAACCACUGGUUUGAGGCAUGAAACCUUAGUAAUUGCUCAACACGUCCCAGCCACAAUAAAUCAUAUACUGCAGUCUCCCUUUAACAGAACAUUCAGCAGAAAUCUCCUCAUGGGCUGGAACAGGGUUCAAUGUGUUUGUUUAUUUCCAACUUGCUGAAGUCUUCAUUCUGCUGGCAAUCUGUCUGGGAUCAUACUGUUUCUACAAGAAGAAAACCUGUCCUCAAGAACAAGAUGAUGUUGAGUAAGCAGAGUGUUUGCAGUCUCUCAGGUGGAUCACGGUGGGACUCUAAGAGGGGUGUUGAUGUCAUGAAAGUUGCCAUGGGGACCAUGACUAAUGACUAAUGAUGAUGUUAUACUGCUCAUUGCUGUUUUAAUCUUAAUCAAGCUCAAACUCAAAGCACAGUCCUGUAUUUAGAUCUUUUGACAUAUAUUUUCAUAUUUUCAUAAUGUUCCUUCAGAACUGCUAUUAACAAAGUAAUAAUGAAAGAUCUAUGUGAUGGUGUUUAUUUAAUGGAUUUUAACUCUUGAAUUGUAGUGUUUUCGUGCUUUUUUAUUUGU
This is a long non-coding RNA of Salvelinus sp. IW2-2015, 1013 nucleotides long. RefSeq lists it as uncharacterized. NCBI's taxonomy places the organism in Eukaryota, Metazoa, Chordata, Actinopteri, Salmoniformes, Salmonidae. The record is from RefSeq and is a predicted model, not a curated record.